UUGUGGCAUCCGUGUCCAGGUC
Molecule: unclassified non-coding RNA, 22 nt
Filed under: Mus musculus (house mouse)
Lineage: Eukaryota; Metazoa; Chordata; Mammalia; Rodentia; Muridae
Description: oocyte_clustered_small_RNA3338
Source: RNAcentral